GUGGGGUUUAGAAUCCCCCCGCGGACCGCACAGUGAGCCCCCACGGGCGGCAUGCGUCCCGCGGGCCGUAUGAUGUGCAGGCCUGGUCUUGUGGCAUACUCGCGACAUGUCUGAAAAGCAUAAGACGCCAUCUGCGGAUAAUGGCCCCAGUAGUCUGUAGACCGGAGCGACCAUAAACAUCUGCUUUACAAAUGAAGUCAUUACACUCUAUGCCCAAUAUACAACGUUGGCAUUUUAUGUGGAAAACCUCCAGCUUUGCCCACUCUGAGUGGUGCAGUCCCAAUGUUUCGCAACCGUACAGCAGUACAGAGAGGAUAUAGCUCGAUUAGAUCCUGAACUUGGUUGUCGUGCCAAGAUGAUGUUGAUUCCGUAUCAUUGUAAACGACCCAUGGCAGAGGCUGCAAUGCCACACUCAGGCACCUAAAUAAAUGGCCUGACCUUUCUCAAAUGCUGAAUACCAAGAACUUCUCACUUGAAUCUGCCGAAGCCGUGGCUGUUCAGCUCCUCUGAAAAUUAAUCCACUCGUUUAGAUGCCUGAAUAUGAAUGUUAGUGCCAGACUUUGGACAGUGACAUAGGAAGACAUUGGCCUGAGCCUAUGCAUGGACUCUCAUCCUACAAUCCAGCCCCUCAACAGAUACAUCCCAGCUUCUGACUGUGAACCAUUCAGCUACAAUGGGGAGGCCUAGAUGCUAGCCCCACAUGAGAGAGGGAAGGAUUUCAGGCCCAAGGCCCAAGUGGGGCAGGAAGAAGCACACGCUCACCUCAGUUGUCUUCUUUGCUGAGGGCGCACUGUCCAGCACGCCGGCAGACUGACCCAGAUCAGAAGGCCUGGACUUGGUACGUGAACGCCAGAAGGGCUGAGGUGCUGUUUCCCGAGGAGCUGUUCCAGGACUAGCGAGGUAAGCACAGACACAGGCCGUGCACUACA
This is a non-coding RNA of Chrysemys picta bellii (western painted turtle), 929 nucleotides long. NCBI's taxonomy places the organism in Eukaryota, Metazoa, Chordata, Testudines, Emydidae. The record is from RefSeq and is a predicted model, not a curated record.